GACGAACGCUGGCGGCGUGCUUAACACAUGCAAGUCGAACGGAAAGGCCCUGCUUUUGUGGGGUGCUCGAGUGGCGAACGGGUGAGUAACACGUGAGUAACCUGCCCUUGACUUUGGGAUAACUUCAGGAAACUGGGGCUAAUACCGGAUAGGAUCUCCUGCUGCAUGGUGGGGGUUGGAAAGUUUCUGCGGUUGGGGAUGGACUCGCGGCUUAUCGGCUUGUUGGUGGGGUAGUGGCUUACCAAGGCUUUGACGGGUAGCCGGCCUGUGAGCGUGACCGGCCACAUUGGGACUGAGGUACGCCCCAGACUCCAACGGGAGGCAGCAGUGGGGAGUAUUACACAGUGGGCGGAAGCCGGAUGCAGCAGCGCCGCGUGCGGGAUGACGGCCUGCGGGUUGUAAACCGCUUUCGCCUGUGACGAAGCGUGAGUGACGGUAAUGGGUAAAGAAGCACCGGCUAACUACGUG
Molecule: ribosomal RNA, 468 nt
Filed under: uncultured bacterium
Lineage: Bacteria
Description: partial 16S ribosomal RNA
Rfam family: Bacterial small subunit ribosomal RNA
Source: RNAcentral